GCGCGAAACCUCUGCAAUAGGCGAAAGCCUGACAGGGUUACUCUGAGUGACUUUCGCUAAGAAAGUCUUUUGACACCUCUAAAAAUGGUGUAGAAUAAGGGGUGGGCAAGUCUGGUGUCAGCCGCCGCGGUAAUACCAGCACCCCGAGUGGUCGGGACGAUUAUUGGGCCUAAAGCAUCCGUAGCCGGUUUUACAAGUCCUCCGUUAAAUCCAGCUGCUUAACAGAUGGGCUGCGGAGGAUACUAUAAGACUAGGAGGCAGGAGAGGCAAGCGGUACUCAGUGGGUAGGGGUAAAAUCCGUUGAUCCAUUGAAGACCACCAGUGGCGAAGGCGGCUUGCCAGAAUGCGCUCGACGGUGAGGGAUGAAAGCUGGGGGAGCAAACCGGAUUAGAUACCCGGGUAGUCCCAGCUGUAAACGAUGCAGACUCGGUGAUGGACUAGCUUUA
This 446-nucleotide ribosomal RNA is filed under the name uncultured crenarchaeote. Its description in RNAcentral is "bacterial SSU rRNA". It matches the Rfam family "Archaeal small subunit ribosomal RNA", at positions 339 to 787 of the family's 1478-position model. Lineage: Archaea; Thermoproteati; Thermoproteota. The record is from RNAcentral.